RNAcentral lists this non-coding RNA (29 nucleotides) under Mus musculus (house mouse). The record is from RNAcentral. Lineage: Eukaryota; Metazoa; Chordata; Mammalia; Rodentia; Muridae.
UCGAGUGCCUCUUAAGAUUCAAAGCAGUC